CCUCCUACGGGAGGCAGCAGUGGGGAAUAUUGCACAAUGGGGGAAACCCUGAUGCAGCGACGCCGCGUGAGUGAGGAAGUAUUUCGGUAUGUAAAGCUCUAUCAGCAGGGAAGAAAAUGACGGUACCUGACUAAGAAGCCCCGGCUAACUACGUGCCAGCAGCCGCGGUAAUACGUAGGGGGCAAGCGUUAUCCGGAUUUACUGGGUGUAAAGGGAGCGUAGACGGCGAUGCAAGUCUGAAGUGAAAGGCGGGGGCCC
RNAcentral lists this ribosomal RNA (258 nucleotides) under uncultured bacterium. Its description in RNAcentral is "partial 16S ribosomal RNA". It matches the Rfam family "Bacterial small subunit ribosomal RNA", at positions 335 to 610 of the family's 1533-position model. The record is from RNAcentral.